UACGAUUUUUUUUUUAUUUUUGAAUGUCUUCGUUUUUCUAACAGUAAAAUGUAGAUAUGUGGGUCAAAUAAUAAUGAAAUCAAAUCGGUAUUUAUUUAUUGUCGAUAAACAUAAUAACAUCAGCUAUGUAUAGCGUUUGAUCGACAUAUUAUGACUUUGUUUGGACUUUUAAAUGUCUUCGUUUCAUAACGCGGUUAAGCCUUAGAGGGAUGACAAGAUAAUAAAAUACGCCGUCCUGAUAAGCCAAUGAGUAAGGCUAUUUGUUGGACCAAGGUGUGUAAAGUUGUUGCUCAAAAACGUUGGAGUUUUUCCAAUUGCGUAACUGUGAUUUACAAUUUUUUGCGAGAGAAAUUUAAAAAGAGCAAAACUGAAAGCUUACUUUACCAAAUGGCAUACACGUUGGCACAUAGUUCAUGGUAGUUUGCACUUGAAAGAAUCUCCCAUGAUUAUUUGAAAUGGACUAGAACUUCGUUCCGACUCGUGACUAGAAUGGCAACUUCGGAAACAGAGUACUAUAAUAGAUUAGAUCUAAUUGUGGUGCGUAUUGGGACUGUAACUGCCCGAAGACUAUUCGAAAAACGUGUUGUCGAUUUAAAACCAGAAAAUGAGGAUAGAAACACAUGGACUGUGGACAAGUUUAUGGAUUUGAAACGAAAGGAAAUAAUGCAUAUGCGCCCAAAAAAUACGAUAAAAUUUCAUCUCUAUCCCAAUCUACCGAACGAGAGAGACUAUACAAAGUGGGACAUUAGUACAUUGGUAUUUGUACUGACUCGCGUUUGUGAACUUGACGACACGUCACGUACUGCACUGGAUACAUUUAAGGAUAUUCGAAACUAUUUGGACCAUCUGGAAAACCCAGCUGUGAAGCUUGUUACAUAUCAGAAAAAACUUGCUGAUUUGAAACAGAACCAUGAUUUAUGUUUAAGGGAUAUAAAUGACAGAACGUUCGAAGCUGAACAAAAGAAGUUAUUUCAUGGGUUUGAACAUGAGCCUUUAUCUGUUAGCGAUGUGACGAAGUUUUAUCACAAAAAGACGAAAGAACAAAAGGAAAUGAAAGCAAUUUUGACAAAUAAUCAAAAAGAUACUAAAGCGAUUUUAAGAAAACUGGAAAAGUUGGAGGAAAGAAUGGGUGUGCAGGAUUUUCCGCCUGCUACUGAGCGCAGAGAUCUAGACAUAGACGACGACAUUGUGCAGCAGUUUGAUGUCGAAUUAAAGCUUCUAUUUUCUGAAUGCGACACUGAAAAGACGAAACAACUGUUACUGGAUGCAUUCAAAAGGCAAAUUGCUGAAAUGUAUGAGGCACAACCUCCGCAUUUAUCUAAAUUACAAGAAGCAGUAGGUGGAGCAUAUGGUGAUUUGUUAAGUAACGGUUACAGGAUUGUCAAUGCAGAUGAAGGCUGUGUAGGUCUACAGAUCCGUUUAACUCUCCCAGACAAUUACUAAAUUUCUUUCGGGAUUAUUUUGAAGGGAAACUGCAGGGUCAGUUUGAACCUGUAAAAAAUGCUUUGCAGACUAUUCCCGGACUUGAGAACAUGACACUUGAUGUUGUGAUAUAUGAAGAUGAAUUCAACAGGGUUAUGGAUAACACGGUAACGUUCUUAUCUUCAUGUCUGCCUGGAGCGGAAGAGUCUAACGUGAAUGACAAUAAUUCUGUUGUGACAGAAUAUGACCGCCAAGGUCCAUCAGUAGAAUAUGAAACAGAAAGCAUCCCUGUUCCAGACCUGCCAUUGCAUCUACAAUCUGGUGAAGAUGAAGCUGAAACAGAAGGCAGAACCUUUCGUUUUGACACAGGACGUAUGCCUUUUCAUGAAAGCAAGCAGUAAACAUCGCUUUUGCUGAUUUGAGCUCAACGGUUUUAUGACAUUUUCUUCCAAAUAAAAUUCCAAAUAACUUUGCUUCGUCAACAGCAUGUAUAUUUGUACGUCUACAAAAAGCUCAGGGUUGCAGUGUUUUCCGUAAUUGUCACACUUAGUUUUGAUUUAGAAAAUUUAACACCAUUUUAUGUUGUCCAAAUUCAAACGUUUUCCAAACAUUACUGUAAAUGACGUUUAAUUGUACACUUUUGUUCAAACAUUAACGUAUUAAAAACGUAAUUGACGUAUAAUGAACAAUAUAUCCCUGGUGACUAACAUUUCACAAUAUUAUUAAUCUUGAUGUUGGAACGGGUAGCAGAUAAAACGACCCUGUUAUUGCUCAAAAGAAAGGAAAGAACCAACAAUACUUUGAAAUUUCGAUCAGAUAAGAAUUGCCAUAAAAAUAUUGGAAGACCUUUUAAACUUACAUAUAAGUCGUCAGGGUCAUUCAUAAUACCGUGUUUUCAAGUUGUAUCUUAAGUUUUUUUUUUAAAUCGAAAAAGACAGAAACGAGAUGUUCUUUUUAACAAAUGCAUCACGAACAAAAUUUUCUAGUCGAACAAAAUGAUCAGAUGUGCUAUGCUGUUUGCGAAAACCGCUUUGAAAUUUUGUAAAUUCUAAAAACCAAAUAUAUCUAGCAUUAAUCAAACGUUAUAGUGUUUUAUAUAAACAACUAGUCAGGGCAACCAGUCUAUAGUCACUAGGGUUUGUAUUAUAUAAGCUGGGUUUUUGUAUGGGGGAAACUAAAGUUUCUCUCCAGGAUUCUGUAAAAGUUUUCAAUGUAAUAUUGUAAAUUUCUACGAGAAGGUCCAUCGAGUGGUACAACUUAUAUCUGUAUGUUUGACGUUAUUUGAGUAACACUUAUAUUUAAAGUAAAUGUUAACCUGCUUUUUGGACAAUAGGAAAAUAGAAAGCAAUGUUUUAUCAAAUGUAAAAUAAGAAAAAUAGACAAAAUUAGGUAAGAUAACAUCACAUGACUUUGCCCUUCGAUUUCUUCGUGCAAAUUCAAUUAAACAUUCCACCAUCUUAUUCUCUGCGCCCACAGGCGCGGAGUAUUUGUGAUGGCUUUUUGUGAGUGCAAUGUAUGUCGUAAAUGACGAUUUGGUCCUUUCGAUUUGCAAAAUGUCCAAAUUUUAUUUUAAAUGUCUGGCCUGGCCCAUUAUAAUGGCAUCAGAUAUAAAAACACAAACGAGAAAAAUAAGCUUUUUAAGAAGAAAAGAAGACAGAAAUAAAAAAGCAGAAAAGAAAGCAAUUUUUGUUGUACAGCACGGGAAAAGUUCCUUUCCUUCUCAGUUUGAUGAUUGUGCCAGAAAGAAAUAGUUUUGAUGAGCGUGCUUUUUCCAUAAACUUUAAAACAUGUGAAUGUGCAUUUUUCAAGCACAUAUUGAUGGCUUACCAAUAUUAUUUUAAAUGUAAGCAUAUCCAUAUAUUUUGAUCAGUGUGUUGCAAUAAUAACCGUUUGCGUAAUAGGUAGUAGCUGCACAAAUGUUACGCGCAAAUAACCAAUCUGCGCUAAUUGUAAAUCGUACAGCGCCAAUAACCAAAUUGCGAUUAAACGCGCGUUUUGUAAAUCGUACAGCGCCAAUAACCAAAUUGCGAUUAAACGCGCGUUUUGUUCUCGUUUGUGUUUUUAAGGGCCUUUCAUAUAAAAUUGUUUAAUGAUAAAAAUGACAACAACCUGACGUGCUUGAAGGUGUGAAUUGUCCGAGCCGUUCUGUUUUAAGUGUUCAUUACAUUAAACAAUAAAAAAGGUGAUCCAUAUAUUUAUGCAGUUAUUUGAAGAAGAUAUUUACGUCCUUGAUAAUUUACAUACUAUUUCUUUAAAAGUCGUUUUAGAGUUACUUAUAGUCAUCCCAGGUGUAUUAUAUAAGCUUUUAAUAUUCUUAACUAUUUAAUGCUUUUAAAGUUUAACAUUUAAAAACUGAAAUAGUAACCAUGUCAAUUCGUAUAGUUGUACGACGGUUUGUGUUUAUUAUUUUGAAAUAACAAGUUGCAGAGGCUAUGAUAACUUAUAAUUUUAGAUCAAUUAUUUCAUGUAAAGAAUUACCACGUCCAUACUAAUUUUCUUCAGUUUAGAUAUUAAUUCAAAUUUUGCUACUAAUUUAAACGAAAAACGAAAUU
Mercenaria mercenaria is the source of this 3974-nucleotide RNA transcript. RefSeq lists it as uncharacterized. NCBI's taxonomy places the organism in Eukaryota, Metazoa, Mollusca, Bivalvia, Venerida, Veneridae. The record is from RefSeq and is a predicted model, not a curated record. The transcript is spliced from 6 exons.